RNAcentral lists this ribosomal RNA (1222 nucleotides) under Escherichia coli. RNAcentral's name for it is "partial 23S ribosomal RNA". It matches the Rfam family "Bacterial large subunit ribosomal RNA", at positions 1 to 1263 of the family's 2925-position model. The record is from RNAcentral. Lineage: Bacteria; Pseudomonadati; Pseudomonadota; Gammaproteobacteria; Enterobacterales; Enterobacteriaceae.
GGUUAAGCGACUAAGCGUACACGGUGGAUGCCCUGGCAGUCAGAGGCGAUGAAGGACGUGCUAAUCUGCGAUAAGCGUCGGUAAGGUGAUAUGAACCGUUAUAACCGGCGAUUUCCGAAUGGGGAAACCCAGUGUGAUUCGUCACACUAUCAUUAACUGAAUCCAUAGGUUAAUGAGGCGAACCGGGGGAACUGAAACAUCUAAGUACCCCGAGGAAAAGAAAUCAACCGAGAUUCCCCCAGUAGCGGCGAGCGAACGGGGAGCAGCCCAGAGCCUGAAUCAGUGUGUGUGUUAGUGGAAGCGUCUGGAAAGGCGCGCGAUACAGGGUGACAGCCCCGUACACAAAAAUGCACAUACUGUGAGCUCGAUGAGUAGGGCGGGACACGUGGUAUCCUGUCUGAAUAUGGGGGGACCAUCCUCCAAGGCUAAAUACUCCUGACUGACCGAUAGUGAACCAGUACCGUGAGGGAAAGGCGAAAAGAACCCCGGCGAGGGGAGUGAAAAAGAACCUGAAACCGUGUACGUACAAGCAGUGGGAGCCUCUUUAUGGGGUGACUGCGUACCUUUUGUAUAAUGGGUCAGCGACUUAUAUUCUGUAGCAAGGUUAACCGAAUAGGGGAGCCGAAGGGAAACCGAGUCUUAACUGGGCGUUAAGUUGCAGGGUAUAGACCCGAAACCCGGUGAUCUAGCCAUGGGCAGGUUGAAGGUUGGGUAACACUAACUGGAGGACCGAACCGACUAAUGUUGAAAAAUUAGCGGAUGACUUGUGGCUGGGGGUGAAAGGCCAAUCAAACCGGGAGAUAGCUGGUUCUCCCCGAAAGCUAUUUAGGUAGCGCCUCGUGAAUUCAUCUCCGGGGGUAGAGCACUGUUUCGGCAAGGGGGUCAUCCCGACUUACCAACCCGAUGCAAACUGCGAAUACCGGAGAAUGUUAUCACGGGAGACACACGGCGGGUGCUAACGUCCGUCGUGAAGAGGGAAACAACCCAGACCGCCAGCUAAGGUCCCAAAGUCAUGGUUAAGUGGGAAACGAUGUGGGAAGGCCCAGACAGCCAGGAUGUUGGCUUAGAAGCAGCCAUCAUUUAAAGAAAGCGUAAUAGCUCACUGGUCGAGUCGGCCUGCGCGGAAGAUGUAACGGGGCUAAACCAUGCACCGAAGCUGCGGCAGCGACGCUUAUGCGUUGUUGGGUAGGGGAGCGUUCUGUAAGCCUGUGAAGGUGUGCUG